This 253-nucleotide ribosomal RNA is filed under the name uncultured bacterium. RNAcentral describes it as "partial 16S ribosomal RNA". It matches the Rfam family "Bacterial small subunit ribosomal RNA", at positions 524 to 776 of the family's 1533-position model. The record is from RNAcentral.
UACGUAGGUGGCAAGCGAUACUCGGAAUCACUAGGCGUAAAGCGCAGGUAGGCGGUUUGGUAAGUCUUUUGUGAAAGCUCCCGGCUCAACUGGGAGAGGUCAAGGGAAACUACCGGACUAGAGUGUGGUAGGGGAUACUGGAAUUCCUGGUGUAGCGGUGAAAUGCGUAGAUAUCAGGAGGAAUACCUAUGGCGAAAGCAGGUAUCUGGGCCAUCACUGACGCUGAGCUGCGAAAGCUAGGGGAGCAAACGGG